CCUACGGGGUGCAACAGUGAGGAAUAUUGGUCAAUGGGCGCGAGCCUGAACCAGCCAAGUCGCGUGAGGGAAGACGGUCCUAUGGAUUGUAAACCUCUUUUGUCGGGGAGCAAAAGACGCCACGCGUGGCGUUCCGAGAGUACCCGAAGAAAAAGCAUCGGCUAACUCCGUGCCAGCAGCCGCGGUAAUCCGGAGGAUGAGAGUGUUAUCCGGAUUUUUUGGGUUUAAAGGGUGUUCAGGCGGAAGUUAAAGUCAGCGGUAAAAUUGAGAGGCUCAACCUCUUCGAGCCGUUGAAACUGGUUUACUUGAGUGAGCGAGAAGUAUGCGGAAUGCGUGGUGUAGCGGUGAAAUGCAUAGAUAUCACGCAGAACGCCGAUUGCGAAGGCAGCAUACCGGCGCUCAACUGACGCUCAUGCACGAAAGUGUGGGUAUCGAACAGGAGUAGAUACCCCGGUAGUC
This 459-nucleotide ribosomal RNA is filed under the name uncultured bacterium. RNAcentral's name for it is "partial 16S ribosomal RNA". It matches the Rfam family "Bacterial small subunit ribosomal RNA", at positions 338 to 795 of the family's 1533-position model. The record is from RNAcentral.